This 70-nucleotide transfer RNA is filed under the name Camelus bactrianus (Bactrian camel). It matches the Rfam family "tRNA". Rfam says of the family: Transfer RNA (tRNA) molecules are approximately 80 nucleotides in length. Their secondary structure includes four short double-helical elements and three loops (D, anti-codon, and T loops). Further hydrogen bonds mediate the characteristic L-shaped molecular structure. tRNAs have two regions of fundamental functional importance: the anti-codon, which is responsible for specific mRNA codon recognition, and the 3' end, to which the tRNAs corresponding amino acid is attached (by aminoacyl-tRNA synthetases). tRNAs cope with the degeneracy of the genetic code in two manners: having more than one tRNA (with a specific anti-codon) for a particular amino acid; and 'wobble' base-pairing, i.e. permitting non-standard base-pairing at the 3rd anti-codon position. Lineage: Eukaryota; Metazoa; Chordata; Mammalia; Artiodactyla; Camelidae. RNAcentral also lists the same sequence under 2 other names. The record is from Rfam by way of RNAcentral.
GGGUAUAUAGCUCAGUGGAAGAGUGUGCUUAGCAGGCAUGAGGUCCUGGGUUCAAUCCCCAAUACUUCCA